RNAcentral lists this ribosomal RNA (483 nucleotides) under Triticum aestivum (bread wheat). Its description in RNAcentral is "partial small subunit ribosomal RNA". The record is from RNAcentral. Lineage: Eukaryota; Viridiplantae; Streptophyta; Magnoliopsida; Poales; Poaceae.
UUGGCGCGCCUCAAUUAUGGUGCUAUUAGUCUUAUUCCGAAAGUUAAGGGCGCUGAUAAUAUUCGACUUUUUAGGCCUAUCACUUUGAUCAACGUGCCUUUCAAACUGUGCGCUAAAGCCUACGCUACGCGUCUGGCGCCAGUAGCCCACCGUGUUAUCCUAAAAGGUCAAACUGCGUUUUUGAAAGGACGUAACAUCCUCGAAGGCCCUAUUGCGCUAGGAGAAAUUGUUCAUGAACUUAAGCAUUCUAAGGGGAAAGGGAUCAUGCUUAAAUUAGAUUUUGAAAAAGCUUACGGCCGAGUUAACUGGGAGUUUAUUCGGGAAGUCUUCCUUAAAAAGGGUUUUAAGGCAGGGUUUGUGCACUGGAUCAUGCACCUCAUCUCGUGCGGGCAGACCGCGGUCACAAUCAACGGAGAAUUGGGGAAAAUUUUCCGUAACAAGAGGGGGCUCCGACAAGCACUACAAAAAAAUACACUUCCGUGA